AAGCAGGAUUUAACUACAGUAUGGCUGCUCAGUGCUGUGUUGUCGUUCCCCCUGCUUAAAGCAAUUGUUUCUUAACUAUACCUGUCUGCUAGACAUGUAGCAGCCAGGGACGCUUGGUCUCAUACAU
RNAcentral lists this small nucleolar RNA (127 nucleotides) under Meriones unguiculatus (Mongolian gerbil). RNAcentral describes it as "Small nucleolar RNA SNORA63 (ENSMUGG00000015379.1)". It matches the Rfam family "Small nucleolar RNA SNORA63". From Rfam's summary of the family: E3 belongs to the H/ACA class of snoRNAs and is involved in the processing of eukaryotic pre-rRNA and has regions of complementarity to 18S rRNA. The record is from RNAcentral. Lineage: Eukaryota; Metazoa; Chordata; Mammalia; Rodentia; Muridae.